GAUGAACGCUGGCGGCGUGCUUAACACAUGCAAGUCGAACGAUGAAGCCCAGCUUGCUGGGUGGAUUAGUAGCGAACGGGUGAGUAACACGUGAGUAACCUGCCCUUAACUCUGGGAUAAGCCUGGGAAACUGGGUCUAAUACCGGAUAGGAGCGUCCACCGCAUGGUGGGUGUUGGAAAGAUUUAUCGGUUUUGGAUGGACUCGCGGCCUAUCAGCUUGUUGGUGAGGUAAUGGCUCACCAAGGCGACGACGGGUAGCCGGCCUGAGAGGGUGACCGGCCACACUGGGACUGAGACACGGCCCAGACUCCUACGGGAGGCAGCAGUGGGGAAUAUUGCACAAUGGGCGCAAGCCUGAUGCAGCGACGCCGCGUGAGGGAUGACGGCCUUCGGGUUGUAAACCUCUUUCAGUAGGGAAGAAGCGAAAGUGACGGUACCUGCAGAAGAAGCACCGGCUAACUACGUG
RNAcentral lists this ribosomal RNA (466 nucleotides) under uncultured bacterium. RNAcentral describes it as "partial 16S ribosomal RNA". It matches the Rfam family "Bacterial small subunit ribosomal RNA", at positions 28 to 507 of the family's 1533-position model. The record is from RNAcentral.